RNAcentral lists this transfer RNA (73 nucleotides) under Rattus norvegicus (Norway rat). RNAcentral describes it as "tRNA-Pro (AGG) (tRNA-Pro-AGG-3-1)". It matches the Rfam family "tRNA". From Rfam's summary of the family: Transfer RNA (tRNA) molecules are approximately 80 nucleotides in length. Their secondary structure includes four short double-helical elements and three loops (D, anti-codon, and T loops). Further hydrogen bonds mediate the characteristic L-shaped molecular structure. tRNAs have two regions of fundamental functional importance: the anti-codon, which is responsible for specific mRNA codon recognition, and the 3' end, to which the tRNAs corresponding amino acid is attached (by aminoacyl-tRNA synthetases). tRNAs cope with the degeneracy of the genetic code in two manners: having more than one tRNA (with a specific anti-codon) for a particular amino acid; and 'wobble' base-pairing, i.e. permitting non-standard base-pairing at the 3rd anti-codon position. The record is from RNAcentral. Lineage: Eukaryota; Metazoa; Chordata; Mammalia; Rodentia; Muridae.
UUGGGGAUUUGGCUCAGUGGUAGAGCGCUUGCCUAGGAAGCACAAGGUCCUGGGUUUAAUCCCCAGCCCCAAA